CCUACGGGAGGCUGCAGUGGGGAAUAUUGGACAAUGGGCGAAAGCCUGAUCCAGCCAUGCCGCGUGUGUGAAGAAGGCCUUCGGGUUGUAAAGCACUUUCAGUGGGGAAGAAAGCCUUGGGGCUAAUACCCUCGAGGAAGGACAUCACCCACAGAAGAAGCACCGGCUAACUCCGUGCCAGCAGCCGCGGUAAUACGGAGGGUGCGAGCGUUAAUCGGAAUUACUGGGCGUAAAGCGCGCGUAGGCGGUCUGAUAAGCCGGUUGUGAAAGCCCCGGGCUCAACCUGGGAACGGCAUCCGGAACUGUCAGGCUAGAGUGCAGGAGAGGAAGGUAGAAUUCCCGGUGUAGCGGUGAAAUGCGUAGAGAUCGGGAGGAAUACCAGAGGCGAAGGCGGCCUUCUGGACUGACACUGACGCUGAGGUGCGAAAGCGUGGGUAGCAAACAGGAUUAGAUACCCUAGUAGUC
This 465-nucleotide ribosomal RNA is filed under the name Vreelandella stevensii. RNAcentral describes it as "partial 16S ribosomal RNA". It matches the Rfam family "Bacterial small subunit ribosomal RNA", at positions 338 to 795 of the family's 1533-position model. The record is from RNAcentral. Lineage: Bacteria; Pseudomonadati; Pseudomonadota; Gammaproteobacteria; Oceanospirillales; Halomonadaceae.